This 107-nucleotide small nuclear RNA is filed under the name Jaculus jaculus (lesser Egyptian jerboa). The record is from RNAcentral. Lineage: Eukaryota; Metazoa; Chordata; Mammalia; Rodentia; Dipodidae.
GUGCUUGCUUCAGUAGCACAUAUACUAAAAUUGGAAGAAUACAGAGAAGAUUAUCAUGGCCCCUGCACAAGGAGGACACACAAAUUCUUGAAGUGUUCCAUAUUUUU